UCCCCUGCCUCUUCUCCACCUCACCCCUGUGCCUCCCAACCGCCAAGCCGCCGCCGCCUCAUCUUCUCGCUGCACGGCUGGGCGACGCGGCGAGGCGCGCGGGAGCUCUUCGGCCGGAGACACGGCGAGGCGCGCGGGACGGCCGCUGGCGAACGUGGCCGGACCUGAGACUGUGGCGCGCGCUGCCACCUCCACCCUCCCCCGGCCUUAUCUCCUACGGAACAGGCUACUCAUGCAUCGAUAGUACAACCAACCCCUUUCCGUGACAUAAUCAACACACGUACAAAAGGUACAUGUGUGACCUCGGCCUCAAUCUCUGCAAAUACACCUCAAAUGCACACUUCAGAUACAUGUGUGACCUCUACGGCCCCAAUCUCUGCAAAUACACCUCAAACACACGCUUCAGCAGGAGCAUCUGCCAACAAACAAGGUGGGAAAGGAUGGCAUGCCAACCUAAGCGACGAAAAGAAGGCUGAGCACCUAAGGAAGCUCCGGAUGAAGGAGAUGUCGUCCAACGUGUUUGUACAUCAAUUACCUACUUUACCUAUAGAUCAACAGUGGUUGGGAGCGCUUCUAAUUGUGGUUACAACAGCGAGUACAUGAAUUGGACUGACGAGGCAACAAAGCUGAUGCAUGCUUGGGGACAUUAGGUUUGAUGUUAUUACCGAGAUACACAAGUUGGUGUAGUCACACAUCAUCUUCAAUUUCUGUUAUCCAUAUCACUGCUCUUGGCCAUUGUUGGCAUCAUCAACACCGAGCACCAACGACAAGAGCCCAGUGGUGAACGAGGCCAAGAGAAUCCUGAGAAGCUGCAGCUGAAAGUAGCACUGGAGGUGGUGCCUGGGAGAAGCAGUGCAGGCAGUGGCCUAGAGGAGCGGAAGAGGUGUCUGGGACGAGCAUAGGAGGCAGCGGCGCAACAGUCGGGUGCAGGGGGCCCGGGAGAAGUGGAGGAACUGGUGGCCGGGAGCAAAAUUGUUGGCGGUGGGAUCAGAGGAGGUACUAAUGCCCGGAGCAGCGCGGGCGGCAAGGGAGGAAACAAGUAUUGAGCUGGCCUAAGUGGCAAUUUUAUCCAUGUAGUCCCUUCGUAAACUAAUAUAAGAGUGUUUAGAUCACUACUUUAGUUAUCUAAACGCUCUUAUAUUAGUUUACAGAGGGAGUACAAAAUACUAAGAGGAAUAUGUACAUGUACUGCUUUAUUAAUUGGUGAUAUACCUACACACUUUCUCCUGGAAAUUUCUUUCACUUGACAUGAUAGUCAUGAUAUUUCUUUGUUACAUACUCCCUCCG
Triticum dicoccoides is the source of this 1287-nucleotide long non-coding RNA. RefSeq lists it as uncharacterized. The record is from RefSeq and is a predicted model, not a curated record. Lineage: Eukaryota; Viridiplantae; Streptophyta; Magnoliopsida; Poales; Poaceae. The transcript has 8 exons.